This 468-nucleotide ribosomal RNA is filed under the name uncultured bacterium. RNAcentral's name for it is "partial 16S ribosomal RNA". It matches the Rfam family "Bacterial small subunit ribosomal RNA", at positions 28 to 507 of the family's 1533-position model. The record is from RNAcentral.
GACGAACGCUGGCGGCGUGCUUAACACAUGCAAGUCGAACGGAAAGGCCCUGCUUUUGUGGGGUGCUCGAGUGGCGAACGGGUGAGUAACACGUGAGUAACCUGCCCUUGACUUUGGGAUAACUUCAGGAAACUGGGGAUAUAACCGGAUAGGAGCUCUUGCUCCACGUGGGGGGUUGGAAAGUUUCGGCGGUGGGGGAUGGACUCGAGGCUUAUCGGCUUGUUGGGGGGGUUGGGGCUUACCAAGGGUUUGACGGAUAGCCGGCCUGGGAGGGUGACCGGCCACAUUGGGACUGAGAUACGGCCCAGACUCCUACGGGAGGCAGUAGGGGGGAAUAUUGCACAAUGGGCGGAAGCCUGAUGCAGCAACGCUGCGUGCGGGAUGACGGCCUUCGGGUUGUAAACCGCUUUCGCCUGUGACGAAGCGUGAGUGACGGUAAUGGGUAAAGAAGCACCGGCUAACUACGUG